UGCCCGGUGCUCGAACGGUUAAGAGGAUGCGUCAGUCGCAAGAUGAAGCGUUGAAUUGAAGCCCGAGUAAACGGCGGCCGUAACUAUAACGGUCCUAAGGUAGCGAAAUUCCUUGUCGGUUAAAUACCGACCUGCAUGAAUGGCGUAACGAGAUGGGAGCUGUCUCAACCAGAGAUUCAGUGAAAUUGUAGUGGAGGUGAAAAUUCCUCCUACCCGCGGCAAGACGGAAAGACCCCGUGGACCUUUACUACAACUUAGCACUGCUAAUGGGAAUAUCAUGCGCAGGAUAGGUGGGAGGCUUUGAAGUAAGGGCUUUGGCUCUUAUGGAGCCAUCCUUGAGAUACCACCCUUGAUGUUUCUGUUAGCUAACUGGCCUGUGUUAUCCACAGGCAGGACAAUG
Molecule: ribosomal RNA, 400 nt
Filed under: Helicobacter pylori
Lineage: Bacteria; Pseudomonadati; Campylobacterota; Epsilonproteobacteria; Campylobacterales; Helicobacteraceae
Description: bacterial LSU rRNA
Rfam family: Bacterial large subunit ribosomal RNA
Source: RNAcentral